AUUGAACGCUGGCGGCAUGCUUUACACAUGCAAGUCGAACGGCAGCGCGAGCUUCGGCCUGGCGGCGAGUGGCGAACGGGUGAGUAAUGCAUCUGAACGUGCCCAGUAGUGGGGGAUAGCCCGGCGAAAGCCGGAUUAAUACCGCAUACGACCUGAGGGUGAAAGCGGGGGACCGAAAGGCCUCGCGCUAUUGGAGCGGCCGAUGUCGGAUUAGCUAGUUGGUUGGGUAAAGGCUUACCAAGGCGACGAUCCGUAGCUGGUCUGAGAGGACGACCAGCCACACUGGGACUGAGACACGGCCCAGACUCCUACGGGAGGCAGCAGUGGGGAAUUUUAGACAAUGGGGGCAACCCUGAUCCAGCCAUGCCGCGUGCGGGAAGAAGGCCUUCGGGUUGUAAACCGCUUUUGUUCGGGAAGAAAUCCUCUGGGCUAAUACCCCGGGGGGAUGACGGUACCGGAAGAAUAAGCACCGGCUAACUACGUG
This 484-nucleotide ribosomal RNA is filed under the name uncultured bacterium. RNAcentral describes it as "partial 16S ribosomal RNA". It matches the Rfam family "Bacterial small subunit ribosomal RNA", at positions 29 to 507 of the family's 1533-position model. The record is from RNAcentral.